Molecule: ribosomal RNA, 609 nt
Filed under: Salmonella enterica subsp. enterica serovar Mbandaka
Lineage: Bacteria; Pseudomonadati; Pseudomonadota; Gammaproteobacteria; Enterobacterales; Enterobacteriaceae
Also listed under: 1 other name
Description: partial 23S ribosomal RNA
Rfam family: Bacterial large subunit ribosomal RNA
Source: RNAcentral
CCCAGACAGCCAGGAUGUUGGCUUAGAAGCAGCCAUCAUUUAAAGAAAGCGUAAUAGCUCACUGGUCGAGUCGGCCUGCGCGGAAGAUGUAACGGGGCUAAACCAUGCACCGAAGCUGCGGCAGCGACGCUGUGCGUUGUUGGGUAGGGGAGCGUUCUGUAAGCCUGUGAAGGUGGCCUGUGAGGGUUGCUGGAGGUAUCAGAAGUGCGAAUGCUGACAUAAGUAACGAUAAAGCGGGUGAAAAGCCCGCUCGCCGGAAGACCAAGGGUUCCUGUCCAACGUUAAUCGGGGCAGGGUGAGUCGACCCCUAAGGCGAGGCCGAAAGGCGUAGUCGAUGGGAAACGGGUUAAUAUUCCCGUACUUGGUGUUACUGCGAAGGGGGGACGGAGAAGGCUAUGUUGGCCGGGCGACGGUUGUCCCGGUUUAAGCGUGUAGGUGUGUGUUCCAGGUAAAUCCGGUUCACUUUAACACUGAGGCGUGACGACGAGGCACUACGGUGCUGAAGCAACAAAUGCCCUGCUUCCAGGAAAAGCCUCUAAGCAUCAGGUAACAUCAAAUCGUACCCCAAACCGACACAGGUGGUCAGGUAGAGAAUACCAAGGCGCUUGA